Molecule: ribosomal RNA, 433 nt
Filed under: uncultured bacterium
Lineage: Bacteria
Description: partial 16S ribosomal RNA
Rfam family: Bacterial small subunit ribosomal RNA
Source: RNAcentral
AACGAACGCUGGCGGCAUGCCUAAUACAUGCAAGUCGAACGAGCCGUUCGGGUGCAGUGUCGCACGGCUGCGUAACGCGUGGGAACCUUCCCUUAUGUUUGGAAUAACUCUCCGACAGGGGUGCUAAUACCGGAUAAUGUCUUCUGCCCAAAGAUAUAUUGCGUUUGGAUGGGCGCUCGUUGGAUUAGCUAGUUCUUAGGGUAAAAGCAUAAGAAGGCGAGGAUGCAUAAAUGGUAUGAGAGGAAGAUCAGCCACACUGGGACUGAGACACGGCCGAGAAUCCUACGGGAGGGAGCAGAGGGUGACAGUGGAAAGUGGGCGGAAGCAUGAUCCAGCAAGGCCGCGUGAGUGAUGAAGGCAGUAGAGUUGUAAUGCGCAUUUACCCGGGAUGAUCAUGACAGUACCGGGAGAAAAAGCUACGGCUAACUCCGUG